This 229-nucleotide unclassified non-coding RNA is filed under the name uncultured fungus. RNAcentral describes it as "sequence contains ITS1, 5.8S rRNA gene". The stretch from base 181 to 229 matches the Rfam family "5.8S ribosomal RNA", at positions 1 to 49 of the family's 154-position model. The record is from RNAcentral. Lineage: Eukaryota; Fungi.
UCUCCGUAGGUGAACCUGCGGAGGGAUCAUUACCGAGUGAGGGCCUCCGGGCUCGACCUCCAACCCUUUGUAUACCGACCCUGUUGCCUCGGGGGUGACCCUGCCGUUCGCGGCGUGGGGCCCCCGGAGCCCAUCAAACCCUGCGUAACUAAGUCGUCGGAGUUUAAACAAAUUAAACAAAACUUUCAACAACGGAUCUCUUGGUUCGGGCAUCGAUGAAGAACGCAGC